This 47-nucleotide ribosomal RNA is filed under the name Curcuma aff. singularis JC-2013. Its description in RNAcentral is "partial 26S ribosomal RNA". The record is from RNAcentral. Lineage: Eukaryota; Viridiplantae; Streptophyta; Magnoliopsida; Zingiberales; Zingiberaceae.
UGUGGCCCCAAGUCAGGCGAGGCCACCCGCCGAGUUUAAGCAUAUCA